UGCAUUCGUCGCUGCGUUCGUGCCUGUUAUGUGCGCUGCAACCUCGCCUUUGAAAGGACGACAACCUUGCUUUUUAAUUACAAGUUUAAUGUUUGCUUAAGACGAUGGACACAUUGCAAAUGGCGGCAGGGGUGGAUCGGCUACAUCGGUGAAGCGACGAUUUAUAUUACAAGCGAGGCUAAUUGUAUUCUGUCGUUAUAGGUGAACGUGGGACUGUAUCGACUGCAAGGACGUGAGUUACAAAAAGCUGUAAUAUUCUAGCAUUAACGUUUGAACAAUACCAGCGUGAUGUUCACUUCGGUUUCUUUACAGGUAGUGUCCUGUCUCAACCGAAAUUGCAAAAUUCCCAUAUCGGACCCCCCUCCUGGGAACAAGGCUAACCGGAAGUCGCGCGUCGCUAGUAAUAAAUUGCGCUGUAAUGUGCAAAUUCUGUAGUGAGGUUAGGUUAGGUUAGGUCAGUACAUUUUACACGCGCGGGGGGGGGGGGUCCGGGGGGGGGUUCCCCCCCGCAGUUGUUCGAGACUGUGCUCACUUCCGUCUAAGCCUCGUUCCCAGGGUUAGAUCGGAGGGGGUCCAAUGUGGGAUUUCUGGCUCACUCGCUGUCUCAACGGUCACGCAUAUGCGUGCAAAACUGCAACUGCUUCUCACAUCGAAGAGGGGUCUGGUGCCACAUGCUCGGACAAUUAUUCGUCGGCCAUUUCGUUUGAGGAACUGUCGUGUUCGUCAAGGAUGACCUUGGUUGAGCUUUGCAGUGCCAGCCUGGUGCAUCGGAGGGGUUGUGCCCAUGCAACGUGUGCUCCAUAUGUGUGAGUUGGGAUUAGUGAACCGUGUAUGCUUUCCAUUCGGCCAACGAUGAUGUACUGGAUGAAAUUUAAAGGUGCAUUUCCCAAAUGCUGCAGUGGCUGUGCAUUUGGUGCUCGUGGAAAUUUCUUGUGUCCACAGUAAUUAGCAGAGAGGCACUCCCCUGAAUUAUGUAUGAGUAAUUCAACUCCUCAUUUAUUGGACUGCGUACAUGUGCAUAGAUUCACAGUUUCGGGCUGCUGGCAUUUGUGAGAACUAUAGCAUCUAUCUCUCAAGUAGCACACGUAUUACUUGACAGAUAAACAACACCUUUUUGAAGGGUGUAAUAUUACCAGGGGUGUUAAAUUACACCCUAAAGGGAGUGAGUUAUAGCACUUUUGGAUUACACCCUAAAGGGUGUUUUUGAAGUAGCAAAUUACACCCUUUUUUGAGGUUGUAGCCGGUGGAAAAGGGUGUAAUAUUACACCCUAAAGGGAGUGAGUUAUCGCACUUUGGGAUUACACCCUUAUUACACCCUAAAGGGUGUAAAAAAAUUAAGAGU
Ornithodoros turicata is the source of this 1342-nucleotide long non-coding RNA. RefSeq lists it as uncharacterized. The record is from RefSeq and is a predicted model, not a curated record. The transcript is spliced from 3 exons. NCBI's taxonomy places the organism in Eukaryota, Metazoa, Arthropoda, Arachnida, Ixodida, Argasidae.